AUUAUUAUUAUUAUCAUCAUCAUCUAGGAGGUUUGGUUGUUAAACGUGUAACUUUUUCUUUUUAGAAGUGUUAAAUCUUAAGAAGGUAGGAACUAGCCAAUGAGUCUUUACAAUUAGCUGGUUAAUCAAGUCAUUUGGUUUUAAUUUGAAGGCAUGUGUUACUAGUGAGUGACUUUGUGAUUUCUCCAUCUCUCUUCUUGAUUGCAAUGCUUUUCAUUUCUUUCUUUACUAACCUCUACACUUCCAGUUAUUGUUCAUAGCACCUAAGAUAGGGCACUUCUUUUUCCAGCUUUAUUUCAAGCUUGAAUCUUAUACUAUUGCUACAUCAGUGAAGACACUAAAUAUAAGCAUACUUUAUUAACUUCAUGAUAAAGUUAAAGCAUAGAAGCAAAUCUACUAACCAUGUUUUCAAUGUAUAGAUCCUAGAUACUUCUUUAAAUUGUAACCGUAAAAUCCAUAAAGAAUUUAAAGUUUUACCAAUAAAAAGUGUACUAGUAAGCCUGUUACAUGACAGGGCCUACAUCAUAUGGUCCUCAUGGAAGAACUAGAAGAAAGAGAAAAUUAUUUAAUAUUUUCAGAAUUUUAAGGACCUGGUACAAAACUUAUAACCUAACCAACUUUGCUUCUGGAGUAGCAUUGGCUAAGAGAAGCAUUUGUUGUGGUAAAAUAUUGGAGUCCUUGAAAUAUCAAUUUGAUGAGUUAAUCUAAGUAGUAUUUUCACUUAAACAUUUAGAUUUCAAGUUUAACUUGUCCGAUUCAUAUAUUUUAUAUGUUGAAAAGUAUAGACUUGGUAACAAAUACAUGAAGCCAAUUAAGAAGCAUGAAACAAUACUAAGAAUUGUGCUUUAAAAUAGUAUUAGCUAACUAUAGAAUCUAUUGCUAGAGAAAAUAUGGAAAUCUUUGAAAUGAUAUUUUUAUGUCAAUAGAACUAAUAUUUUGGCUCUCCUAUACACUGUUGCUUCUAGUUGGUUACUGACUAGUCUUCAUUAUCAUUAUUUUUAUGUAGGAAGGGACAUCAAACUAUUUUA
RNAcentral lists this unclassified non-coding RNA (1028 nucleotides) under Hevea brasiliensis (rubber tree). Lineage: Eukaryota; Viridiplantae; Streptophyta; Magnoliopsida; Malpighiales; Euphorbiaceae. The record is from RNAcentral.